GACGAACGCUGGCGGCGUGCUUAACACAUGCAAGUCGAACGGAAAGGCCCUGCUUUUGUGGGGUGCUCGAUUGGCGAACGGGUGAGUAACACGUGAGUAACCUGCCCUUGACUUUGUUAUAACUUCAUGAAACUUGUGCUAAUACCUGAUAGGAUCUCCUGCUGCAUGUUGGUUUUUGGUAAGUUUCGGCGGUUGGGGAUGGACUCGCUGCUUAUCAGCUUGUUUGUGGGGUAGUGGCUUACCAAGGCUUUGACGGGUAGCCGGCAUGAGAGGGUGACCGGAGAAAAUGGGACGGAGAUAGGGAACAGAAGCGAACGGGAGGCAGCAGUGGGGAAUAUUGAACAAUGGGAGGAAGCAUGAGGAAGAAAAGCAGCGUGCGGGAUGAAGGCCUUCGGGGUGAAAACAGAUGGAGAAUGAGAAGAAGAGGGAGUGACGGUAAUGGGUAAAGAAGCAACGGCUAACUACGUG
RNAcentral lists this ribosomal RNA (468 nucleotides) under uncultured bacterium. Its description in RNAcentral is "partial 16S ribosomal RNA". It matches the Rfam family "Bacterial small subunit ribosomal RNA", at positions 28 to 507 of the family's 1533-position model. The record is from RNAcentral.